Non-coding RNA from Ailuropoda melanoleuca (giant panda), 202 nucleotides. NCBI's taxonomy places the organism in Eukaryota, Metazoa, Chordata, Mammalia, Carnivora, Ursidae. The record is from Rfam.
AGGGAGGAGCGCUGGGAACCCGCGUUGGAGUGCGUUUCGGGGCGCGUGGAAACGCCCAGGAGAGCCAGGGGCAGCGGCGACGGCGCAGCCUGGAACGGCCAGGAGCGCGGGCGGGCAGCGGGCCGGUUGCCGCCAGGCCUCUUAUUCGAGGCUGGCGGCGGAAGGGCCCGCAGCUCCCCGCCAAGCCCUCGCGAAGCGCCAA